UGCCAGCAGCCGCGGUAAUACGGGGGGGCAAGCGUUAUUCGGAAUUAUUGGGCGUAAAGCGCGCGUAGGCGGCUUGAUAAGUCAAAGGUGAAAUCCCUCGGCUCAACCGAGGAACUGCCUCUGAAACUAUCUCGCUUGAGGCCGGGAGGGGGUAGCGGAAUUCCCAGUGUAGCGGUGAAAUGCGUAGAUAUUGGGAGGAACACCGGUGGCGAAGGCGGCUACCUGGACCGGUUCUGACGCUGAGGCGCGAAAGCGUGGGGAGCAAACAGGAUUAGAUA
This 278-nucleotide ribosomal RNA is filed under the name uncultured bacterium. RNAcentral describes it as "partial 16S ribosomal RNA". It matches the Rfam family "Bacterial small subunit ribosomal RNA", at positions 506 to 784 of the family's 1533-position model. The record is from RNAcentral.